This 324-nucleotide long non-coding RNA is filed under the name Elaeis guineensis (African oil palm). RNAcentral's name for it is "long non-coding RNA (EGUI_LNC002041)". The record is from RNAcentral. Lineage: Eukaryota; Viridiplantae; Streptophyta; Magnoliopsida; Arecales; Arecaceae.
GGAGGCGGACGGCGUUCGCGAUCGCUUCUCCUUCCUCGCCCGUUCCAGCAGGGAAGGAGAGAGUUGCUGGGACUGACGGGCAUCGCACCGUGGCUGCCCCUCCUCCUCUCCAUGGGAGCGCUGUGGCAGGCGCUCGCACGGAGAUGACGGAGAUCGGUGCGGGCGUCGGUGGCUGCUCUUGGAGGGCAUCGGACGUGCCGCCGGUUGUUGCUGGAGACUCUUGACCGCGUCCGUCAGCACAGUCAUCUGCCGUACGAUUGCCGCGAUCUGCACCUCCGUGGUCACCGCGGGGUGCGGAGAGCUGGGUUCCACCGCGAAGGGUGG